GCCGAAGUGGUGGAACUGGUAGACGCGCUGGACUCAAAAUCCAGUGGGCGCAAGCCCGUGUGGGUUCGACUCCCACCUUCGGCACCA
RNAcentral lists this transfer RNA (87 nucleotides) under Candidatus Latescibacterota bacterium. Its description in RNAcentral is "tRNA-Leu". It matches the Rfam family "tRNA". Rfam says of the family: Transfer RNA (tRNA) molecules are approximately 80 nucleotides in length. Their secondary structure includes four short double-helical elements and three loops (D, anti-codon, and T loops). The record is from RNAcentral. Lineage: Bacteria; Pseudomonadati; Candidatus Latescibacterota.